UGAUGUGUUUUAAAUGAAGGUGUGCUC
RNAcentral lists this non-coding RNA (27 nucleotides) under Homo sapiens (human). Lineage: Eukaryota; Metazoa; Chordata; Mammalia; Primates; Hominidae. The record is from RNAcentral.